This 253-nucleotide ribosomal RNA is filed under the name uncultured bacterium. Its description in RNAcentral is "partial 16S ribosomal RNA". It matches the Rfam family "Bacterial small subunit ribosomal RNA", at positions 524 to 776 of the family's 1533-position model. The record is from RNAcentral.
UACGUAGGGUGCGAGCGUUGUCCGGAAUUACUGGGCGUAAAGAGCUCGUAGGUGGUUUGUCGCGUUGUCCGUGAAAACUCACAACUCAAUUGUGGGCGUGCGGGCGAUACGGGCAGACUGGAGUACUGCAGGGGAGACUGGAAUUCCUGGUGUAGCGGUGGAAUGCGCAGAUAUCAGGAAGAACACCCGUGGCGAAGGCGGCUCUCUGGGACGGUACUGACGCUGAGAUGCGAAAGCGUGGGGAGCGAACAGG